GGUGAAUGCGUUCCCGGGCCUUGUACACACCGCCCGUCACACCAUGGGAGUUGGUUCUACCUGACGGCCGUGCGCUAACCUUCGGGAGGCAGCGGACCACGGUAGGAUCAGCGACUGGGGUGAAGUCGUAACAAGGUAGCCGUAGGGGAACCUGCGGCUGGAUCACCUCCUU
This 172-nucleotide ribosomal RNA is filed under the name Chaetoceros curvisetus. Its description in RNAcentral is "partial Bacterial small subunit ribosomal RNA". It matches the Rfam family "Bacterial small subunit ribosomal RNA", at positions 1361 to 1532 of the family's 1533-position model. The record is from RNAcentral. Lineage: Eukaryota; Bacillariophyta; Thalassiosirophyceae; Chaetocerotales; Chaetocerotaceae.